RNAcentral lists this transfer RNA (84 nucleotides) under Merdimmobilis hominis. RNAcentral describes it as "tRNA-Leu". It matches the Rfam family "tRNA". Rfam says of the family: Transfer RNA (tRNA) molecules are approximately 80 nucleotides in length. Their secondary structure includes four short double-helical elements and three loops (D, anti-codon, and T loops). The record is from RNAcentral. Lineage: Bacteria; Bacillati; Bacillota; Clostridia; Eubacteriales; Oscillospiraceae.
GCGGGCGUGGCGGAACUGGCAGACGCACCAGACUUAGGAUCUGGCGGAUUUUCCAUGCAGGUUCAAUUCCUGUCGCCCGCACCA